This 1154-nucleotide ribosomal RNA is filed under the name metagenome. RNAcentral describes it as "SSU rRNA". It matches the Rfam family "Eukaryotic small subunit ribosomal RNA", at positions 582 to 1759 of the family's 1831-position model. The record is from RNAcentral.
AUUCCAGCUCCACAAGUGUAUUCCUAUAUUGUUGCGGUUAAAAAGCUCGUAGUUGGAUCAGAGUGCUUAGCGGGUGGUACAGUGUUUCACUGUCACUGCUUCGCGGCACAUAACCGUCGACUGGCUGCUGUUGUUGCCUUCACCGGUGACGGCAGUUAGCUAUUGACAUGUUUACUUUGAACAAAUCAGAGUGCUCAAAACAGGCGUUUCGCUUGUAUGUUUUUGCAUGGAAUAAUAGAAUAGGACCUUGGGUCUAUUUUGUUGGUUUUCGGAAUCAAGGUAAUGAUUAAGAGGGACAGACGGGGGCAUUCGUACUGCAACGGGAGAGGUGAAAUUCUUGGAUCGUUGCAAGACGAACUACUGCGAAAGCAUUUGCCAAGAAUGUUUUCAUUAAUCAAGAACGAAAGUAACGGGUAAAGGCGAUCAGAUACCGCCCUAGUCGUUACCGUAAACGAUUGUAACCGGGAGCUAGCAGGCGCUUUACUAUGGCUCUGCUAGAACCCACCCGGAAACGAAGAGUUUUCGAUAUCCGGGGGAAGUAUACUUGCAAAUGUGAAACUUAAAGGAAUUGACGGAAGGGCACCACCAGGGGUGGAGCCUGCGGCUUAAUUUGACCCAACACGGGGAAACUCAUCCGGUCCGGACACCGUAAGGAUUGACAGAUUGAGAGCUCUUUCUUGAUUUGGUGGGCAGUGGUGCAUGGCCGUUCUUAGUUGGUGGAGUGAUUUGUCUGGUUUAUUCCGAUAACGAACGAGACUCUAGCCUACUAACUAGUUAUGCGAUCUUCUUGUCGUAUUAACUUCUUAGAGGGACAAGCGGUGCUCAGCCGCAUGAAAAAGAGCAAUAACAGGUCUGUGAUGCCCUUCGAUGUUCGGAGCUGCACGCGCGCUACACUGUAGAAUGCAACGUGCUAGCUUGCCUCGCUCGCAAGAGUGGGGUAAUCGGUUGAAAUUUCUACGUGAUUGGGAUAGGGACUUGUAAUUAUUUCCCUUGAACGAGGAAUCCCUAGUAAGUGCAGGUCAUCAGCUUGUGCUGAUUACGUCCCUGCCCUUUGUACACACCGCCCGUCGCUGCCCGGAACUGAGCCAUUUCGAGAAAAAUGGGGACUGAUUGCUUGUGAGCACGCAAGUGCUUCUUGCAGUCGGAAACCAUCU